GAUGAACGCUGGCGGCGUGCCUAAUACAUGCAAGUCGAGCGAACAGAUGAGGAGCUUGCUCCUCUGACGUUAGCGGCGGAAGGGUGAGUAACACGUGGAUAACCUACCUAUAAGACUGGGAUAACUUCGGGAAACCGGAGCUAAUACCGGAUAAUAUAUUGAACCGCAUGGUUCAAUAGUGAAAGACGGUUUUGCUGUCACUUAUAGAUGGAUCCGCGCCGCAUUAGCUAGUUGGUAAGGUAACGGCUUACCAAGGCAACGAUGCGUAGCCGACCUGAGAGGGUGAUCGGCCACACUGGAACUGAGACACGGUCCAGACUCCUACGGGAGGCAGCAGUAGGGAAUCUUCCGCAAUGGGCGAAAGCCUGACGGAGCAACGCCGCGUGAGUGAUGAAGGUCUUCGGAUCGUAAACCUCUGUUAUUAGGGAAGAACAAAUGUGUAAGUAACUAUGCACGUCUUGACGGUACCUAAUCAGAAAGCCACGGCUAACUACGUG
Molecule: ribosomal RNA, 497 nt
Filed under: uncultured bacterium
Lineage: Bacteria
Description: partial 16S ribosomal RNA
Rfam family: Bacterial small subunit ribosomal RNA
Source: RNAcentral